AUGCAUAAGUGUCAUCAUACAAUGAGUCGAUGUUGCGAAGGUCGUCUUCUCCUACGGCGAGUGCCGCCCUGCUCCGUGGCAUGCUACAAGUCGGUAUUGCAUGCCAUGUUGCGGGAGUGUUGCCGGUGCUAUGGGACCAUUGCUAAUGGUGUAAGCCAUUGCUACCUAGGGCACUGUCGUGCUGAAGGGGUGUUGUCUGCGAUGCAAGCCGCUAUUGUGAGGGUCAACGUCAUGCUGCAAGUUGAUGCUACAUGUGGCGCUGCCAUGCUGCAAAAGUGUCAUUGGUGUUGCAACAUCAUCAAAGCAUCAAGGACCAUUGUGGCAUUGCCACGGUCGAUGACGCAUGCUAAGCACAUCGCAUCGUUCGAAGAACGCCGUCGGGACAUCGCCACGGUCGUCGAAGCACGUCGUCACAACAUCAUCGGAGCACCAAGGUUGCCAUUGUAG
This 447-nucleotide ribosomal RNA is filed under the name Triticum aestivum (bread wheat). Its description in RNAcentral is "partial small subunit ribosomal RNA". Lineage: Eukaryota; Viridiplantae; Streptophyta; Magnoliopsida; Poales; Poaceae. The record is from RNAcentral.